CCUCGGGAGGCAGCAGUGAGGAAUAUUGCACAAUGGGGGGAACCCUGAUGCAGCAACGCCGCGUGGAGGAUGACGCAUUUCGGUGUGUAAACUCCUUUUAUAUGUCAAGAAAAUGGCGGUAGCAUAUGAAUAAGCACCGGCUAACUCCGUGCCAGCAGCCGCGGUAAUACGGAGGGUGCAAGCGUUACUCGGAAUCACUGGGCGUAAAGGACGCGUAGGCGGGUUGGAAAGUCAGGUGUGAAAUCCUACAGCUUAACUGUAGAACUGCACUUGAAACUUCUAAUCUAGAGUAUGGGAGGGGGAGAUGGAAUUAGUGGUGUAGGGGUAAAAUCCGUAGAUAUCACUAGGAAUACCUAAAGCGAAGGCGAUCUCCUGGAACAUUACUGACGUUAAGGCGUGAAAGCGUGGGGAGCAAACAGGAUUAGAUACCCUCGUAGUC
This 439-nucleotide ribosomal RNA is filed under the name uncultured bacterium. RNAcentral's name for it is "partial 16S ribosomal RNA". It matches the Rfam family "Bacterial small subunit ribosomal RNA", at positions 339 to 795 of the family's 1533-position model. The record is from RNAcentral.